Molecule: long non-coding RNA, 331 nt
Organism: Etheostoma spectabile (orangethroat darter)
Lineage: Eukaryota; Metazoa; Chordata; Actinopteri; Perciformes; Percidae
Exons: 3
Source: RefSeq, a predicted model, not a curated record
UGCUGGGAGUCCAAAUGCAAAUCAAAUUGAGCAAGAACAGACGAGAGUUGCAUAUUGUGGAAAAACUGUAUGCCAGUGUUGUGCUUAGGCACAGGGACAGGAUGGAGGUUAGGACCUCCUCAAACACUCGUUCAGGUAGCCUGAAGCAUUCCUCGAAGAAGUUCACCAGGGACUGGCUGAGGUGCUGCCUUGUUGCUUCACUGUGAAUGAAGUGGCCUUCAUCUGGGUAGAUCUGAACCAUAAAGAAUAGGUGUGUUCAAGGACGAGGAGACAACGGGACAGCGGCACCUGAUAAUGCAACAUUGAUGUGUAUUGAUGGACCCCAGGGGAC